Molecule: long non-coding RNA, 1681 nt
Filed under: Malus domestica (apple)
Lineage: Eukaryota; Viridiplantae; Streptophyta; Magnoliopsida; Rosales; Rosaceae
Description: long non-coding RNA (MDOM_LNC000852)
Source: RNAcentral
UGUAAAUCCGACUGUGAAUCUGCAAGAAAUGUAAAUAACACAAGAUGUAUCGUGGUUCACCCCAAGGUUUGGGCUAUGUCCACACUGAUUGUAUUGUAUUUCUUUGAGAAGUGAGGGAGAGAGCCUCUGUAAUGAGAGGAGAUGUGAGAAGGGUGAGAAGGCUCCAGAUAUGGCAUCCCCUAAUUGUGAGGGAGAGGGGUCCUUUUAUAGAAUAAGGACUCCUCACUUAUUAUAUAUUUGUCCCUUCCUUUAUCACAUAAUUACAUUUAAGUCCCCCGCGUAUUUGUAUGAAAUCUAAAUACGAGACCCUAAAUAUGGUAUAAACAAGGGUAUUACACAUCAACUCAUGUGUUAUUGCAUAUAACUUUAUCCUAUUACUCAGACAAACAAUUAAACACAUAAAAACUCAUUAAGUGUAGAAAAAUCAUGUCAACCAAGUAAGACUAGCUUGAUAUUAGUCAUCCUCACUUAUUUAUCAACUCUUUUAAUCCUAGUUACAAUAAACCUAAUUGAUUGGUCAUACUCAUAGAUUUAUUUAAGUAUCUAGAUGAAAAAUUCCUAAGGAUGAUCAGUCAAUAGAAAUUCGAAUCUAGAAUAAAUUAACCAUAAAGAUUAAAAAUUUAACACGACAUAUAAUCGAAUAACAAUUAACAAAGUACUUCACAAAUAUUCAUGUCAUGGGAUCAUCAUAAACCUUAGAAACAACUUAGUUACACAUAGAAAUAAAAAUUAAAAUAAAAGAAAAAUAGAACCAGUGAUCAUAGAAAGGUACGUCCCUAAGCUCUUCUUCAUGAGUUGUGUAGAUGGUGUGUUAUGAUGGUAUGUGAUGAUGUGGGGGAUAUGAGAGAGAGCUUAUGACACACCCCGACCCGGAAUGUCCACUAGGACUCCGAAUCAAACUGUGCUGGCCAACACCUGGAAGGUGACGAAGCCAUAAAGUGUGAUGAUGUGGAAAAUUUGUGAAUAUACCUAAGAGUGCCUAUUACCAGAGUGCACUGGUGAGCGGGAAUGUACCCACUUCACACAUGAUGUUAGAGCAUAAGCAAGUAUAGAAAAGUGAUAUAAGAAUCAUACCCUCGGAAUAGCCUCCAAUACUAAGAAUCGCCGCGAGUCUUUGGUGAUAAUAAAACUCAGCUAAUAAUACUUGAAGGGUGAAGACAAGACAAGGGUGAGUGGCCCUGUAAGUAAAAUACGAAUAAAAAACAUAUAAAACAUGUAAUCCCUCGCUACAACACCUGUAUAAUUUCCAGAGAAAUCAUAAUGUACCACAACACAGCAUCUCAUAAAUAAUAUCAAAUAACCAUGUGAUUAAUAACUCAUAAUAGUACGCAAGUCAGAGUCACCAAGGGUGACCUAUACGACAUAUUCAUAUCUCAUCACAUAUCUCAUCAAUCAUGGCUAGCAUAUAAGUCGGAGUCACCUCUAAUGACCUAUACAACAUAUUCAUAUCUCAUCUCAUAUCUCAUCAAUCAUGGCUAGCAUAUAAGUCGAAGUCACCUCUAGUGACCUAUACGACAUAUUCAUAUCUCAUCACAUAUCUCAUUAAUCAUGGCUAGCAUAUAAGUCGGAGUCACCUCUAAUGACCUAUACGACAUAUUCACAAUCAUGGCUAGCAUAUAAGUUGGAGUCACCUCUAGUGACCUAUACGACAUAUUCAUAUCUCAUCACAUAUCUCAUCAAU